RNAcentral lists this ribosomal RNA (253 nucleotides) under uncultured bacterium. RNAcentral describes it as "partial 16S ribosomal RNA". It matches the Rfam family "Bacterial small subunit ribosomal RNA", at positions 524 to 776 of the family's 1533-position model. The record is from RNAcentral.
UACGAAGGGGGCUAGUGUUGCUCGGAAUCACUGGGCGUAAAGCGCACGUAGGCGGAUUGUUAAGUCAGGGGUGAAAUCCUGGAGCUCAACUCCAGAACUGCCUUUGAUACUGGCGAUCUCGAGUCCGGGAGAGGUGAGUGGAACUGCGAGUGUAGAGGUGAAAUUCGUAGAUAUUCGCAAGAACACCAGUGGCGAAGGCGGCUCACUGGCCCGGUACUGACGCUGAGGUGCGAAAGCGUGGGGAGCAAACAGG